GAUUGUUUCUUUGUGGAGUUUUUGUGGUGAGCCUCAAUGUUGGUGAGCAUUCAUCUCAAAGCCUCAGCACUGUUAAUGUCCUCAGAAUUUUGUGCAGUUUAGAGCAGAAGUGGACCUGAACUCAGUGAUCCUGACUGUGGGGGAGGUGUAGAGCAUCUUCUACUCAGGAGAUCCAUAUUUCUGUGUAUUCCUCUGGAAAUCUCUGCACACCUGAGGUCUUCUGAAGAGUCCAGCUCCUGGUUCUACACAGGAUGACCCAAAAUUCAAUUCAUUUGAAACCAUUGUGCAAAUGCUUCUCGAACUCCAGCAGCUUUGGGCCAUUAUCGUUGCUGUUUCAGCAUCCUAACACCCCCUGGUGAAGAACCUUUUUCUAACACCUGACUUGAAUCUCCCAUGACACAGCUCCAUGUUAUGCAAGGCCUCUUUACCCUCAAGGGAAUUAGAAGCUCCUCCCAGUUUAAUAUCCACAAACCUACUUAUUAGACUUUCUAGUCUUGAAUUCAACUAAUUUAUGUAAAUUUUAAAGAGGACUGAUCAGAGGCCAGUGUCUUUCUCCCUGUCAUAUGUAUUUCUAAGCUUUUUACUUUCAAAUUUGAGCAUAAACUGUGUUAUCACUUAAUCCCUAAAUGUAUGAGAUCAAUUAAUGUAUCUCUGGGAAUGUGGAGUCUAAAUUAUAAUAAUGUGGCAGUUUUCAUUGCAAGAGUUAUUAUAUAUUUGCAAUCCAAUUACAGAACAGUUUCAUGAUAAUUAAGAAGUUAUUUGUUGAACAUGGAGUGAGACAUUACAGGAAAUUGCUAUAUUGUCCAAUUUACCCAUAAUUAUUUGUCUAAAAAUAAGGGUGGAGUUUUGUGUAUUAUGCUCUCAGAGAGCUGCUUUAUGAGAAAGAGAUCAUUGUUUAGAUCUGAGUAAGUAUUUAGUAAGUAUUUUAGUGCUUCUCCACUCAUCCCCAACACUUUGCAUUCAAUCUUUCCUCUACAAACCAUGAAAAUACUUCUGGUGGACAGGCAGCUCUUCAGCAUGUCCUCAGGUGCUUUUUGAGAUAAGAGAUGAAAAGUAGAAAAGCAUCUGUAUAGUGGAUGAUAAGGGUGAAAACAUACAUUCACAAUGAUCUGUAGUAUCUCUAUGAUGUAUGUGUAGAACCUUUAUUUUUUUACUCCUUUAAAAGAAAUGGAGCUUUAUACUUGAUGUUAAGGUUGGGACCAUUAAUUGGGAAUUGUCAGAGUGAACUGUGAGUGCAGUGAGGUCAAGCUAAGAUUACAAAGCUGAAGCACAGUAAAACUAUUCCAAUGCAUGGAAACUGCACAACUUAUCUACUGGUGUAUGUGUUGUUUCAAAAUGCUAUGAAUAACAGUGAUCUUCAUGGCUGUGGUAUUCAUUAGAGAAAUAUUAUAUACUUGAGGAAAACUUCAGUUAAACUUUAGAUUGCAGAUCUGAUACUUAUUUGCUUACUAGCUCUUUAGGAACCAAGUUGUAUUGUUUAAUCCCAUCCAGCUUUAGAGCAUGGUCUUAAAUAAACCUGGCUCUCAAUAGCCUUACCUCAUUUUGAGAAAGAGGCAUUAAAAUUUUGUGGUAAACCAUAAAGCAGGGACAUCCCUUUUAACCACUACUUCGCACUUUUAUAUCAAGGAGAAGACCUUAAAGAGCCCCCUUUUUCCUCAGUAAGAGGGGAGAUGCUCUGGAUAAGACUGAGAAUCCACCAAUUUGCUGCAGCUGGUUGUUGAAAAGCAAAAGUUAUGCAUAUGUAGUAAUUUAUCCUAUUUUCUCAAAGUCAAGGAUAUGCACAGAAAAGUGUAUUGCUGUUGCUGAAAUGUUUGUCAUCUUGCAGCAGGGAGAGAUUUCAUGUAGAAAGCACAUAUCCUGUCUAUUCUCUUCCCAGUCCUUGUGCAUUAUGUGCUCUGAAACCCACUGUGAAGAAUAAGUUAACUUAUUUCAUUCAUUUAGCAGUUAAAACGUGAAUUAUUGUUAAUGCUCAAAAGGGAUUGCUGCAUUUUCUCAUUCUCAUUACAGCCUAGGACCAUUUGCUCAUAAAUGGCAAACUGUAUUAUUACCACUUAGUUUGCUAAUACCUUAGGUCCCACGUAUAUAUGUUUUAUAACAACAUUUUAAUACAAAUUUUUGGAUAAGGAUUACUCUUCUCCUGAUACUGAAAACACUAUCUGGUUGAUCUUACAAAUAUGUAUCAGAAGUGUAUGUAUCAUUUGACCUAAGUGAGGGACGAUAACAUCAAAUUUUCUUUAUGAACACUUAUUCUCUGUAUACAGCUGUACUUUUUAUGAUACUACUUACAGUUGGCCCACUGUGGUGGCAUUUCUAUGGAAACAAAUCUUUGUAAUUAAUUUUGGUUUAAGGACUAGAACAACAUGACACAAGAAACAAUCAUAUUUCUGGUGUUUGAGGUGAUAAUUCUACAUAGAAAAUGAUUAUUUGUAUGCUUGAAAAAAGUUCACUUUCUUUCUUUGUCAGUUUGUCCUGAAAAGUUAAAUGACUUUCUGCAUGCAUCAAGGUCAUAAAUUACCUGUUACCAUAACAUGAGAAAGUAUCAUCAUAUAACAAUACAUUUACAAAGAUACUAUCAGAACCCUUACAACUAUUUUUUGGGAGGUCUCUUUCAAAUGUUAAUUACUUUUCAGUCAGUAUUUGAUGAAACAGGUUAUUUUCAUUAAGCCACAUUAUGGCUAAGAAAAUCACAAGACCAUUUUAGAUAAACAAAGCUAAAUAACUUGGUUACAUCAAAUUCAGAUUGUAGCAGAAUAACCUUUAUUGAUUCCAAGGCAGAAACUUUCAAUAAAAACAGCCACCAACAGAUAUAUUUAAUCAUUCUAAGAUUUUAUUUUCCAUAGCAGCUGAGCAUCCGUCAUAUCCAGUGACUUCCUGGAGACUUUGGUUGUUUUGUUUUUUCGUUGUUCAAAAUGGACAUCCACACACCACUUUGCAUGUGAAUAUUCUUGUCAAGUAACCCAUUCUACUCCAUCUCUGCUGCAUGAGGAACACAAAACAUUUUACUACAAUGAGAAUUUAUAUGCAGAUGAGUUUUCCAUUGCAGUCAGAAGCAGAUUCAAAUUCCUGGAGUGCCUGGGAGCCAGACCUCCAAAUCAGGUCCUCAAUGGUUUUUUGAGUUGUGCCAUGACAGAUCAAGAAAUACGAAGAAAACAGGCCCACAACUGCAAUUUAAAGUCGGUGUGAGUUUGGGAGCAUGCUGGAUCAUUUCCGCUGUUCAGAUGGAAGGUCUCAGACUUGCUGAAAAAUGAAGUGGCCUUGAAGAUAUAAUUUCUACAGUAAUCUCUUCAGAGAUGUCUCUCUUCUGAUCCACUAAAAAUGGGGUAGCUGAGGAUUUCAAAUGCAACAAUAAAAGCUGGGCAAGCUCUGUCAGUCACAUAUUUCCAUCCUCUUCUCUCUAUGUCUCCUAAAUAAUAAAACUGCCCCAGGAAUGACUCUGAGGAAAAGAGUCUUCCAAGGAGAGGUCCCACGAAGGAGAAUCAACCCUGCAGAAGCAAACUGUCACUUCUUAUAAGCAUCUGAAGCCAGCCCUCCUCUUGUGACUUGGUGGAGCCAUGCUACCAUACUGCCUCACUUUGCUCCCUUGACAUGCUGCAAUGAGAGGGAGCAUCAUUUUUCCCUUUUCAGAUGACAGUCAAAAGUCUGAGUGAAGGUAACAAAAAGGUAACCCUGACUUUUUUGGCACAGCUGAAAGAAAGUAUACUUUCAUACACCAUAUUAGAAUUGAGCAUAUUUCUCACAGCCUAUUAUGUUUUUUUAAGAUACCACCCCUCAUCCUUUUUGCAAGAUUCAAGUGGACUCCAAAGAUAAAUGUGCUUUUGGGUCAUUUGUUUCAGUUACAAGUUCGUUUGAAAAGGGAAGGCAGAUUUAUUACUAAUAAAUAAUCUGUGCAAAAUCUGAGAUGCACAAAACCAAGAGUCAAGAAAAUAAGGUUUUAAAUCUCAAAAUUAACUAUGGGCAUAAAAAAAAAAAAUAAAGAAAAGAAAAAAAAAAAAAA
Molecule: non-coding RNA, 3994 nt
Organism: Coturnix japonica (Japanese quail)
Lineage: Eukaryota; Metazoa; Chordata; Aves; Galliformes; Phasianidae
Source: RefSeq, a predicted model, not a curated record